AAGAGACAUGAUCUUGCUAGAGUGCAGUGGCAUGAUCAUAGCAUACUGCAGCCUCAAACUCCUGGGCUCAAGCAGUCUUCCUGCAUCAGCCUUCUUAGAGACAGUGCCUCAUUAUGUUAUCCAGGCUGGUCUUGAACCCCUGGCCUUAAGCUAUCUUCCCACCUCAGCCUCCCAAAAUGCUGAGAUUGCAGGCGUGAGCCAACGUGCCCGGCCAAAUUUUUAUAUUUAAUCAGAGUACCUCCUAUAUUUGCUUUGGGUGUCUGCUCUCUCGUGAAUGUGUAUUCUAUGUAGGCUUAUAUAUUAUUACAUUUCCCACUUCCUUUUUUUUUUUUUUUUUUUUUUGAGACAGUUUCGCUUGUUGUUCAGGCUGGGGUGUAGUGGCACAAUCCUGGCUCACUGCAACCUCUGCCUCCCGAGUUCAAGCAAUUCUCCUACCUUAGCCUCCCGAAUAGCUGGGAUUACAGGCAUGUACCACCAAGCCCAGCUAAUUUUUGUAUUUUUAGUAGACAUGGGGUUUUGCCAUGUUGGCCAGUCUGGUCUCGAACUCCUGACCUCAGGCGAUCCACUUGUCUUGGCCUCCCAAAGUGCUGGGAUUACAGGCGUGAGCCACCAUGCCCGGCCCUUUUCUUUCUUUUGUAUUUUGUGUUUUGAGACAUGGUCUUGCUCUGAUACCCAGGCUGGAGUGCAGUGGCAUGAUCAUGGCCCACUGCAGCCUUGAUUUCCUGGGUUCAAGCAGUCCUCCCACCUCAGCUCCCCGAGUAGCUGGGACCGCAGGGGUAUACUACAACAUCACACCCAGCUAAUUUUUUUUUAUUUUUUGUAGAUAUGGGGUCUCGCUAUGUUGCCUGGGCUGGUCUCGAACUCCUGGACUCUAGUCAUCCUCCUGCCUUGUCCUCCCAGAAUGCUGGGAGUACAACUAUGAACCACUGUGCCUGGCAUGUAAAUUUUGUACAUUUAACUUCACAUGGUAGUAUUAUAAGAAGCAUGCCUUUACACUCUCCUAGAGGUUGAGGA
This 1014-nucleotide long non-coding RNA is filed under the name Homo sapiens (human). Its description in RNAcentral is "non-protein coding lnc-SSH1-5:1". The record is from RNAcentral. Lineage: Eukaryota; Metazoa; Chordata; Mammalia; Primates; Hominidae.